UCCGGUUUGUCACCGGCAGUCUCCUUAGAGUGCCCUUGCGUAGCAACUAAGGACAAGGGUUGCGCUCGUUGCGGGACUUAACCCAACAUCUCACGACACGAGCUGACGACAGCCAUGCAGCACCUGUGUUCCAGUUCCCUUUCGGGCACACCCGCCUUUCAGCAGGCUUCCGGACAUGUCAAGGGUAGGUAAGGUUGUUCGCGUUGCAUCGAAUUAAACCACACGCUCCGCUGCUUGUGCGGGCCCCCGUCAAUUCCUUUGAGUUUCAAUCUUGCGAUCGUACUUCCCAGGUGGGAUACUUAAUGCUUUCGCUCAGACACCAACAGUGUAUCGCUGAUGUCGAGUAUCCAUCGUUUAGGGCGUGGACUAC
This 370-nucleotide unclassified non-coding RNA is filed under the name uncultured bacterium. Its description in RNAcentral is "contains 16S-23S intergenic spacer region". The record is from RNAcentral.